GAUCAUGGCUCAGGAUGAACGCUAGCGGCAGGCCUAAUACAUGCAAGUCAAGGGGCCCAGCAAUGGGCACCGGCGGACGGGUGCGUAACGCGUACACAACAUACCUUAAGUGGGGGAUAGCAUUGGGAAACUGAUGGUAAUACCCCAUAAUAAUUCAGGGAGGCAUUUCCUUGGAUUUAAAGCUCCGGCGCUUAGAGAUUGGUGUGCGUCCGAUUAGCUAGAUGGUAAGGUAACGGCUUACCAUGGCGACGAUGGGUAGGGGUCCUGAGAGGGAGAUCCCCCACACUGGUACUGAGACACGGACCAGACUCCUACGGGAGGCAGCAGUGAGGAAUAUUGGACAAUGGGCGCAAGCCUGAUCCAGCCAUGCCGCGUGCAGGAUGACGGUCCUAUGGAUUGUAAACUGCUUUUGUACAGGAAGAAACACUCCCUCGUGAGGGAGCUUGACGGUACUGUAAGAAUAAGGAUCGGCUAACUCCGUG
Molecule: ribosomal RNA, 482 nt
Filed under: uncultured bacterium
Lineage: Bacteria
Description: bacterial SSU rRNA
Rfam family: Bacterial small subunit ribosomal RNA
Source: RNAcentral